AACCCGACUCCAUGAAGCUGGAUUCGCUAGUAAUCGCGCAUCAGCCAUGGCGCGGUGAAUACGUUCCCGGGCCUUGUACACACCGCCCGUCAAGCCAUGGGAGCCGGGGGUGCUUGAAGUGCGUCGCCGCAAGGCGCGCCCUAGAGCAAAACCGGUGACUGGGGCUAAGUCGUAACAAGGUAAC
RNAcentral lists this ribosomal RNA (184 nucleotides) under uncultured bacterium. RNAcentral's name for it is "partial 16S ribosomal RNA". It matches the Rfam family "Bacterial small subunit ribosomal RNA", at positions 1309 to 1500 of the family's 1533-position model. The record is from RNAcentral.